Molecule: long non-coding RNA, 1379 nt
Organism: Uranotaenia lowii
Lineage: Eukaryota; Metazoa; Arthropoda; Insecta; Diptera; Culicidae
Exons: 5
Source: RefSeq, a predicted model, not a curated record
CACACCCAAAAUAAUCUGCACGUAGCGGCUACGUGAAAAAACUACAUAGUUUUUAUCCAAUUGAUUUUCUCGUAGAUGCUACACCCAAAAUAAUUUAGAAAUUAAUUAUACGGGAUUUUUAACGUAAACUAAGUCUUUGUGGCGUCCCAUCGAUUCUACGUGUGCUUCGUAGUAGAUACUGUACUUCCAUGCAACUGACAAAUGAAUUUCACGUAAAGUCUAGGUGGAUGAGUUUGAACACUUUUUUUUGCAAUUUUCUCAAGCCUGUGCUCAAGAGCAUUCGUACCGGAAAACGAGCAGUACACAGGACGUCCUUCGGGUCCCAAACAUGAGAAAUACAAAUCCGAGCUUCGGGAGCAAGGUGGUGAGUGUAAAUUCUUUAACCUGUUGAAAUUUGAGCUUUGGUCUGUGUUGUUUCCAGCUUAGGGGAAAGCUUCAAGACACCCGUCGAGAAGGAAAGGCACCACAUCUGCAUCUAGUCAAGCGGCCUGGAUGGAAGUUAGUGUCUGCUGAUUCUAACAAGGAUUAAAUGAUUGACGAACCAGCCCGAGGCUGAAAGUCUCUGCACGCUCGUUUUUUUAUAACCAUUAUUGAAAUUUUUUCAACCGUUUUUUGGUUUUCUUUCGAAAACUUUGAUAAUUGUUGUUUUUCAACCAAAAUUAACUAUUGAAUUUUAACCAUUUUCUAAGUUCUUGUUGAAAACCAAAAAAAUGGUUGAAAUUUCCGUAACAACAGAAAUGAAUUGGUUGUUUUUAGUGAGCGUUCCGCCAUUGUUUUUUCGAUUCGCUAGUGCGAAAAUUUUUUUGGUGCAAAUUAAUCUGUAAAUUCAAUCGCCACGGUAUCGAUGAUGGCAAUCCCAUGGACAAUUCCGGCGAAUGGGGGAAACAUCCAGACUUUCUGGUGGAAGCUGCCUCCUGAGAACCAAUAUGCAGCAGUUGAAUAUAUAUUGACCGCAUCGAGUAAUUGCAGCCGGAUGAGCCAAUAGGAUGAGAUAUCUGAAGCAAUUUCCGCAAUCAGCAAUGUACCAGUUGUUGAUUUCAUCUACCUUCCGGACGGCGGAACAGGAAAACAUUCAGGCUAGUAGGCAUUCGCUUGCGCAAUCCUACAAAAGUUUUAUCCGGAAGAUUGUUCAUCAGACCAAACCGGAUUAAAUAUCUAUUAUAGUUGAUGUAUUCAACAGAAUAUAGUUUAUUAUAAAAUACAAUUUAAAAAAAAAACAUUAAAAACCGCAUAUCUCCUUUAGUCCUUGAUUCUUUUAUAUUGAAUUCUCCCAUUUUAGCUGCAGUGAAACGAACCUUGCUUGAUUUUGUAGGAAAACGGUUAUUUUAUAACCGUUUUUUCAGUUUUAACAAACGGUUGAAAAAUAACCAUAAUCCAAG